RNAcentral lists this non-coding RNA (432 nucleotides) under Ictidomys tridecemlineatus (thirteen-lined ground squirrel). RNAcentral's name for it is "Spermophilus tridecemlineatus (thirteen-lined ground squirrel) Bacterial large subunit ribosomal RNA". It matches the Rfam family "Bacterial large subunit ribosomal RNA", at positions 2049 to 2651 of the family's 2925-position model. Lineage: Eukaryota; Metazoa; Chordata; Mammalia; Rodentia; Sciuridae. The record is from Rfam by way of RNAcentral.
UCCCAUGAAGAGGUGGGAAUGAAUUAAUAAGAGGAGAAGGCCUCAGGGAGCUUGAAUUUAAUAGCCUAAGCACUCUCAACAAUAACUCCUUGAGGGCCUAAAACCCUGCCUAUGGGCUAAAAAGUUUGGUUGGGGUGAAUUCGGAGUAUAAAUCAAUCUCUGGAUGAUUAUAAUCCAGACCCCAACCUGUCUAAAUUUUAACUCAUUAACUGACCCAAACUAUUUGAUUAAUGGAACAAGUUUCUGUAGAUACAUAACAGUGCAAAUCCAGUCAAGAGGUCAUAUCCACAGUUAAGGUUUACUACCUUGAUGUUGGAUCAGGAUGUCCAAAUGGUAUAACCAAUAUUAAUGGUUCCUUUGUUCAACAAUUAAAGUCCUAUGUGAUCUGAGCUCAGACCAGAGAAAUCCAUGUUGGUUUCUGUCUUUUAAAUA